Molecule: ribosomal RNA, 253 nt
Filed under: uncultured bacterium
Lineage: Bacteria
Description: partial 16S ribosomal RNA
Rfam family: Bacterial small subunit ribosomal RNA
Source: RNAcentral
UACGAAGGUGGCAAGCGUUGUUCGGAUUUACUGGGCGUACAGGGAGCGUAGGCGGUUGGAUAAGCCCUCCGUGAAAUCUCCAGGCUUAACCUGGAAAGUGCAGAGGGGACUGUUCAGCUAGAGGAUGGGAGAGGAGCGCGGAAUUCCCGGUGUAGCGGUGAAAUGCGUAGAGAUCGGGAGGAAGGCCGGUGGCGAAGGCGGCGCUCUGGAACAUUUCUGACGCUGAGGCUCGAAAGCGUGGGGAGCAAACAGA